Molecule: ribosomal RNA, 402 nt
Filed under: uncultured bacterium
Lineage: Bacteria
Description: bacterial SSU rRNA
Rfam family: Bacterial small subunit ribosomal RNA
Source: RNAcentral
UGGGGAAUAUUGCACAAUGGGGGAAACCCUGAUGCAGCAACGCCGCGUGAGUGAAGAAGUAUUUCGGUAUGUAAAGCUCUAUCAGCAGGGAAGAAAAUGACGGUACCUGAGUAAGAAGCCCCGGCUAACUACGUGCCAGCAGCCGCGGUAAUACGUAGGGGGCAAGCGUUAUCCGGAUUUACUGGGUGUAAAGGGAGCGUAGACGGCGAGGCAAGUCUGAUGUGAAAGCCUGGGGCUUAACCCCGGAACUGCAUUGGAAACUGCUUUGCUGGAGUGCCGGAGAGGUAAGCGGAAUUCCUAGUGUAGCGGUGAAAUGCGUAGAUAUUAGGAGGAACACCAGUGGCGAAGGCGGCUUACUGGACGGUAACUGACGUUGAGGCUCGAAAGCGUGGGGAGCAAACA